CGGUUAAUGAGUAUACUGGCGGACGGGUGAGUAACGCGUAGGCGACCUGCCCUUGUGACGGGGAUAACAUCGAGAAAUUGGUGCUAAUACCCGAUAAAGCAACCAUACUGCAUGGUGAGGUUGUUAAAGUUGUUUUCGGACGAUGCACAAGGAUGGGCCUGCGUUCCAUUAGUUAGUUGGUGGGGUAACAGCCCACCAAGACAAUGAUGGAUAGCUGAUCUGAGAGGGUGAUCAGCCACACUGGGACUGAGAUACGGCCCAGACUCCUACGGGAGGCAGCAGUGAGGAAUAUUGCGCAAUGGAGGCAACUCUGACGCAGCAACGCCGCGUGGGGGAUGAAGUUCUGUGGAAUGUAAACCCCUGUAGGUAGGGAAGAAGGUUAUGGUAAGGCCAUAAGUGACGGUACCUGCAAAGUAAGCUCCGGCUAACUCCGUGCCAGCAGCCGCGGUAAUACGGGGGGAGCGAGCGUUGUCCGGAAUCACUGGGCGUAAAGGGCGUGUAGGCGGGUUAGUAAGUCAGAUGUGAAAGCCCACGGCUUAACCGGGGAAAUGCAUUUGAUACUGCUAGUCUUGAGUGCGAGAGAGGGUAGUGGAAUUCCCAGUGUAGCGGUGAAAUGCGUAGAUAUUGGGAAGAACACCAGUAGCGAAGGCGGCUACCUGGCUCGCAACUGACGCUAAGGCGCGAAAGCGUGGGGAUCAAACAGGAUUAGAUACCCUGGUAGUCCACGCUGUAAACGAUGGGCGCUAGGUGUUGGUUAGUCUAGGACUGAUCAGUGCCGCAGCAAACGCAAUAAGCGCCCCGCCUGGGGAGUACGAUCGCAAGGUUGAAACUCAAAGGAAUUGACGGGGGCCCGCACAAGCGGUGGAGCAUGUGGUUUAAUUCGAUUCAACGCGCAGAACCUUACCGGGGUUUGACAUGCCGAUGAAUUAUGCAGAGAUGUAUAAGCUCUUCGGAGCGUCGGCACAGGUGCUGCAUGGCUGUCGUCAGCUCGUGUCGUGAGAUGUUGGGUUAAGUCCCGCAACGAGCGCAACCCUUGCCUCUAGUUACCAGCGAGUAAAGUCGGGGACUCUAGAGGGACUGCCGGUGAUAAACUGGAGGAAGGUGGGGAUGACGUCAAGUCCUCAUGGCCCUUACAUCCCGGGCUACACACGUGCUACAAUGGCCGGUACAACGAGUCGCGAUACUGUAAAGUGGAGCCAAUCUUAAAAACCGGUCUCAGUUCGGAUUGCAGUCUGCAACUCGACUGCAUGAAGUCGGAAUCGCUAGUAAUCGCGGAUCAGCACGCCGCGGUGAAUACGUUCCCGGGCCUUGUACACACCGCCCGUCACGCCAUGGAAGUCGGCAGUACCCGAAGCCGGCCGUAAGGUCGUCGAAGGUAAGGCUGAUGACUGGGGCGAAGUCGAAACAAGGUA
RNAcentral lists this ribosomal RNA (1412 nucleotides) under metagenome. RNAcentral describes it as "bacterial SSU rRNA". It matches the Rfam family "Bacterial small subunit ribosomal RNA". The record is from RNAcentral.